RNAcentral lists this ribosomal RNA (500 nucleotides) under uncultured bacterium. RNAcentral describes it as "bacterial SSU rRNA". It matches the Rfam family "Bacterial small subunit ribosomal RNA", at positions 28 to 525 of the family's 1533-position model. The record is from RNAcentral.
GAUGAACGCUAACGGGAGGCCUAAUACAUGCAAGUCGAACGGGUGAAUUAGCUUCGGUUGGUUCACUAGUGGCGCACGGGUGAGUAACGCGUACGCAAUCUGCCUUAUGCUGGGGAAUAGCCCCGGGAAACUGGGAGUAAUACGCCAUAGUUCUACGGAUCUGCAUGGAUUUGUAGAUAAAGCUGCGGCGGCAUAGGAUGAGCGUGCGUCUAAUUAGGUAGUUGGUGAGGUAACGGCUCACCAAGCCGACGAUCAGUAAGGGGCGUGAGAGCGUGGCCCCUCACACGGGUACUGAGACACGGACCCGACUCCUACGGGAGGCAGCAGUAAGGAAUAUUGGACAAUGGGCGCAAGCCUGAUCCAGCCAUCCCGCGUGCUUGAUGAAGGCCCUCUGGGUUGUAAAUAUCUUUUAUCUGGGAAGAAACACUUCUAUUCUUAGAAGCUUGACGGUACCAGAGGAAUAAGCACCGGCUAACUCCGUGCCAGCAGCCGCGGUAAAG